Molecule: long non-coding RNA, 2609 nt
Filed under: Olea europaea subsp. europaea
Lineage: Eukaryota; Viridiplantae; Streptophyta; Magnoliopsida; Lamiales; Oleaceae
Source: RNAcentral
CUUAACCGUAUAUUUAUGCUUAAUCCAACGGAGGAAUGUGACAUUGAUGAAAUUGAAAAUAUGACCGUUGUGCAGGACCUAUUUAUAAUCCCUUGUUCUUCAAAGAGAUCGAUGAGUUAUGGGGUCUUUCAAGAAGAACUAGGCAAGUUUUUUUGAAGACGGAUGCAAGAGUUAGAAAAUUAACAGAAAAACAGGGAGUCAUUUUUUUAUGAUAAUUUCUAUAAUUUCUUCAGCUAUAUGAUUAUCAUGUUCUUUAUUCAAAUAUAGAAUUAAUCUUGAUGGAUAGUUUCAAUUCAUGGUUUUGUUAUUUGGUCGAACUGGUGAUUAUUUUGGGUUUCACUGGAUUUUUUUGGAGAAUUUUCUGGGGGUUUUCAUUUCAUAUACGGCUCUUUUUGCAAUUUUAACAAUUGCCUCAUGGUUUUUCUAUCAAGAAGAACUAGACAAGGAUUUUUGAAGAUGAAUUCGAGUUCUACUUCAGAGAAUCGAGAAAUAAGUUAAUAAUAAGAUUCUUGACAAAAAAGCAGGUCAGUCAUAUUUUCAUGAUAAUUUCUUUAGUUAUAUGAUGAUAAAACCGGGUUCAGUGGAUUUUUUUUUUUGUUGAAUUCUCUGAGGGUUUUCAUUGAAUUUCUAACCCUUGGGAUUAAGCAAAUUUGAUAUCUCUCGUUUCUAUAAUUUCUGUAUUUUUUUUAAAAUAAUGUUCUUUGUUGGUUCAUUUUGUUGAAUCUUCUAACUUGUAAGAUAUUUUCUGGGUUGAAUUGAUGAUCAUUUUAGGGUCACAUUGUAAUUUUUUCUGUGAAAUUGCUUUGGGUUUUCACGAUUUUUAAUGGUUGUGUUUGGUGUUUCCUUUUUAUUCAAUUUAUGGCUAUUUCAGCAAUUGUGUACCUUAGGUGAUAAUGUUCUCUGUUGUUGUGUGUAAUUCCUUUGUCUUGGCAAUUGCGUUCUAUGGUGCAUUUGAAUGGGUCUUGAAGGAUUUUUCCUUUACUGUAUUUAAAAUUGUUCUGUGAAUUUUAUAUGGCUAGAAUUCAUUAAUGGAAUUUGUGUUUGGUUUGAUUAUUGAAAAGUUUUGGGUUCCCUUUUUAUCUUAUUUAUGGUUACUUAGGAAAUUAGUUACUUCGGCGAUUGUAUUUUGAGUGUAUCGUGUUCUCUGUUUUCUUUAAUUUUUCUAUCUUUACACAUACAUUCUGUUUUGGUGCAUUGGCUUGACUCUUGAAGGAUAAAAUUCCGGGUUCAAUUUUGAUUUGCAAGAUUUAUUUAUCUGAAUUCUCUGUGGAUUUCAUUGAAUCUUUAAUAGAAUUUGUGCUUUUUCUGUUUGGAUAAAUAAGGAUAAUUGAUAAGAAGGGGUUUUCUUUUUAUUUUAUGUAAGGUUCAACAAUUAUGUUUCUUAGUGAGAUAAUGUUCUUUUCAUGUUAAUUCCUUGUGUAUUCACGAUUACAUUCUUUUUGGUACAUUUGGAUGAAUAUUGAAGAGUCUGUCUUGUUCUCUGGAUGAUCAAUCUUGAGUUUCACUGGAUUUGUCUUAUUCUGGGUUGAUUUUAAUGUACUACAAGCCUUUAGUUUGGUUUGUGGUUCCUUUUUCAUUUUAUGUAUGGUUAUUUUAGACAAUUAUGUUCUUAGAGCGAGGAUGCUCUCUUUAUUUCUGUAAACUUGAUAUUAAUUCUCUCUGUAAUUUAGAUGUUGGUUUGUGAUUUUGGUUGGGCUUUGAUUGAGUGAACUUCGACUGUUAGAUAUAUUAGAGUUCCUUUUGGUUAUGUAACUUUUUUUUCUGGGUCUAUAAUUUCAUGUUUAUGAUUUUACGUUCUUUGUUGGGAUGAAUCUAAUAGGAUCUUUUUUGGGUUUUGUUUGUUGGUCUAACUGAUGAUUUAGCUUCAAGUGUCAGUGGUGCACUAAGGGUUUUUUCCUAGUUUGGUUUCUGAUAUUUCAGCAUUGCUCGCACAGCAGCACCCGAAUUCUCACACAGUAGCACCCGAAUCUUCAUAUUUAUGGAUAGGUUUAAAUUACAAGCGGUACUACCCUAUAUCGAUACUCCAUCUUACCAUGAUUAUCUUAGUUUUUAUGGUUUUUCGGGUCUAGUUCCAUCGAUCUCUUCUUUGUUAACAAGUGAAUAGAUCUAUUCAGAGUUCAUUGAUUUUAUUGUUCAUUGAUUUCACUUUUGCUCUAUGAUCUAAUCGUAAUAUUACUUUCUGACAAAGGUCCGAUGCUUAUCCAGGUAACUGUUUCUUCAUUCCACUUUUUUUGUGGUGGGUAUGUAUUGCAUCGGUUGAAUUCAUUUAUCUCUACACAUUCUGCAAUUUAUAGCAGCUUCGCCUAAUAAGAUGUCAACUUUUCAUAUUUCUAUUUCUGAAGCAAAUAAUCUAUAAUCAAUCUGUUAAAGAGAAAUUAAACAUUCGAAUGUCUCUAGAAGGCUAAUCCACAUUCCUGUUCAAGAAGAACUCAAUUAGAUUUCUACAGAAAAGCAGCAACCACAAAACCGUCAUCGAACUUGAAGAGUCUACGCACCUAUCUCCAGGUUUGUCUUUGAUAAGAUAAUUUUAGUUUGUUUUUAUUUUAGUUUUCUCUAAUUCACUUCGUUUCAUAAUCAAUUCAUUUUGUAAUCAUUAUUGGUAAAUAUGC